CAGAGUUCGUGCCCUUCGGGGUAGACCUCCCACCCUAUGUUAUACAUACCAAUGUUGCUUCGGCGGGCACUUCGCACGGCCGGCUUCGGCUGCCGCGCGGCCCGCCAAAGGACCCCUAACUCUGAUGUAUUGUGUUGUCUGAGUACUAUAUAAUAGUUA
Molecule: unclassified non-coding RNA, 159 nt
Filed under: uncultured fungus
Lineage: Eukaryota; Fungi
Description: sequence contains ITS1
Source: RNAcentral